GUAGGCGGCGGCUACACAUGCAGUCGAGCGGAUGAGGAGAGCUUGCUCUCUGAUUCAGCGGCGGACGGGUGAGUAAUGCCUAGGAAUCUGCCUGGUAGUGGGGGACAACGUUUCGAAAGGAACGCUAAUACCGCAUACGUCCUACGGGAGAAAGUGGGGGAUCUUCGGACCUCACGCUAUCAGAUGAGCCUAGGUCGGAUUAGCUAGUUGGUGGGGUAACGGCUCACCAAGGCGACGAUCCGUAACUGGUCUGAGAGGAUGAUCAGUCACACUGGAACUGAGACACGGUCCAGACUCCUACGGGAGGCAGCAGUGGGGAAUAUUGGACAAUGGGCGAAAGCCUGAUCCAGCCAUGCCGCGUGUGUGAAGAAGGCCCUCGGGUCGUAAAGCACUUUAAGCUGGGAGGAAGGGUUGUAACCUAAUACGUUGCAGCUUUGACGUUACCAGCAGAAUAAGCACCGGCUAACUCUGUGCCAGCAGCCGCGGUAAUACAGAGGGUGCAAGCGUUAAUCGGAAUUACUGGGCGUAAAGCGCGCGUAGGUGGCUUGGUAAGUUGAAUGUGAAAUCCCCGGGCUCAACCUGGGAACUGCAUCCAAAACUGCCUGGCUAGAGUACGGUAGAGGGUGGUGGAAUUUCCUGUGUAGCGGUGAAAUGCGUAGAUAUAGGAAGGAACACCAGUGGCGAAGGCGACCACCUGGACUGAUACUGACACUGAGGUGCGAAAGCGUGGGGAGCAAACAGGAUUAGAUACCCUGGUAGUCCACGCCGUAAACGAUGUCAACUAGCCGUUGGGGUCCUUGAGACUUUAGUGGCGCAGCUAACGCAAUAAGUUGACCGCCUGGGGAGUACGGCCGCAAGGUUAAAACUCAAAUGAAUUGACGGGGGCCCGCACAAGCGGUGGAGCAUGUGGUUUAUUCGAAGCAACGCGAAGACCUUACCAGGCCUUGACAUGCAGAGAACUUUCCAGAGAU
Molecule: ribosomal RNA, 971 nt
Filed under: Pseudomonas luteola
Lineage: Bacteria; Pseudomonadati; Pseudomonadota; Gammaproteobacteria; Pseudomonadales; Pseudomonadaceae
Description: bacterial SSU rRNA
Rfam family: Bacterial small subunit ribosomal RNA
Source: RNAcentral